AAGGGCAAAAAUCAGCCUGUGAAAAUGAAACCAAACUGACUGGAAACAGAAGGCACACACUAACUCCUGCUUCUCGCCACUCCUUACCAAUCCUCA
This 96-nucleotide long non-coding RNA is filed under the name Callithrix jacchus (white-tufted-ear marmoset). Its description in RNAcentral is "lncRNA (ENSCJAG00000070604.1)". The record is from RNAcentral. Lineage: Eukaryota; Metazoa; Chordata; Mammalia; Primates; Cebidae.